Molecule: long non-coding RNA, 1019 nt
Organism: Macadamia integrifolia
Lineage: Eukaryota; Viridiplantae; Streptophyta; Magnoliopsida; Proteales; Proteaceae
Exons: 2
Source: RefSeq, a predicted model, not a curated record
GGCAUUUGGGCGAGGAAUCGUAAAGCUAUGAUGAACGCGCCCGCCGCCUGGGCAAAACUGAGAGAUCAGCAAUAAGAACAGGGGAGACCUAAACCUAGCUCGUCUCUAUAUAUAAUAGAAGCUAUCCCCCCUCACUCGUACCAGUGGCCCUUGCUGAAACCCUACAUCUAUGGGGCUUCUUCUUCACUUCCGAAACCCUAAAAAGCUCCAACGACGUUAUCCGUAUCUGCGUCUCUCUGUGUGUGGAAGAAAGGUAAGUGCUGGUUAAGUGGUAUCUUGAUGUGUACAUACACAAUGUGUACGUACAAUGACGGAAAGCCUCCUGAGACCAGCUAAAUCAAAUUGAUCGAUCAUCAUACUGGGCGGAUUCUCUUAUUAAAGCUCCACGAAUUCCGCUUCUGUCUCGAUCAGUUCAGCUGGCGAUGUGGUGUGGAGGAAUACGGAGGCUUUGAUUCUUGUUAGCCUCAUUCUUAGGGUUUCUCUACACCUCCCAUAGCCAGCUCCAGUGCCAAUUUCUCAGUCUAUUUUACCUCUGUGAUCUGUAAGUAUCGUCCCUGUCCAUGCGAAGAAAUCUCUUUUUUUUUUAAUUGGUAAUGAAAUUCACUACUACCAGACAUUAGUCAGGUAUCAACCUUAGAUCCAGUGGUUUGAUACCGUUACACGUCUGGGAAAUCAAUGGUGUUCAUCGUUGCAGGUGUGUUUAUGCUCUUUACGCUCACACCUGCUCCAUUUGAGCCCCACAUCUUCUUCUUCCUCAAAUCCUCCAUGGUUGAAAAUGUUGGAAACUUGAAAUUGAUUCAAGUCAUUGAUACAUUAUUUCAGGCUUUAGAGCCUGAUAAUGAAUUAGUUUUUUGCCUUUUGCAUCCGACUCCACCUGGAUCAUUCAUUCAUGGACGGUCACGGUGGGAGUAAGUGCAUUUGCUGCUGUGUUUCCUUGAUUUAUCUACACACCAUCUGGUGGAAAGGAUUGAGUCAAUCAAAAUAAGAAAUAUUAAUGGAGACAACCUCAGCUUUUCAAA